Molecule: long non-coding RNA, 470 nt
Filed under: Gallus gallus (chicken)
Lineage: Eukaryota; Metazoa; Chordata; Aves; Galliformes; Phasianidae
Description: long non-coding RNA NONGGAT001001
Source: RNAcentral
AGCCAAUGUGAGGACCCCUGUAUAUGCUGAGCUCUACGGAAAAUUAAGCAAAAUAGAGAGGUACAGCAUUUAGAAAUGCUAGCAGUGGGGUAAAGAAAAGAUCAUGGGAUUUGGGAUUGCACAGAGUCCAGUGGUGCACUGAUUUUGCUGAUUAAACUGAUAAAUAAUGAACUCAAAAUGUUUUAGGCAGCUGUUAGUGUCAGAGAUCAGAUUAAUCUUCAGCAUGAAAGAGAGAAGAUAUUCAAGUUUACAGCACUCCGGAGCAGUGAUAUCCCUGUAGAAGACAUGAAAAACUCUUCUCUAUGGCUCCUGGAUGCUUACAUAACGUUCAAUUAUGCAUAAUAUCAACACUCGUGUUUCAAGACUUUUGGGAAGACUAAUAACAAGGAAAAGAGGGGGAAGAGGGCAGGGAGGGAAGAAAGAAGAGAUUUCCCAUAGAAAUAAAUUGAUUGCAUUGUACUGAGCAUUGG